GCUCUGGUCACAGACUCUCUGAACAGCU
This 28-nucleotide non-coding RNA is filed under the name Rattus norvegicus (Norway rat). The record is from RNAcentral. Lineage: Eukaryota; Metazoa; Chordata; Mammalia; Rodentia; Muridae.